CCUCUUUCAUUUGCCACUAACUGCUAAGUGAAAAUAGCCACCUGCCACCGUCUGGCAUCAAUUCACCCUGUUCCCCUUGAGCAAGCCUCAGUGCCUCCCACUCCUCAAGCCUGACGACUUCUGGAAAGCCCAGCUCGGCUUCCGGGUUCAGGAUGGCAUGCUGUCUUUGUAAGAGGUGAGGUGAGGUCUGUGGGGCAUGACGGAAGCAGCUAUGGAGGCAAGGUCUUCAGCGGAGUAAUGAGGUUUAAACCAGUCGGCGAGCUGAGCAGCACCAAAGGUGAAGCUGGCCUUGAACUCGCUGCACAACCAAGACUAACUUUGAACUCCUGAUCUUCCGAUGUCUACCUCUGAAGGGCUGAGAUUACAGAAGUGGGCCACCAUACCCAGCUGGUUUUAUUUUCCUGAUUGUGU
This is a long non-coding RNA of Apodemus sylvaticus (European woodmouse), 411 nucleotides long. RefSeq lists it as uncharacterized. The record is from RefSeq and is a predicted model, not a curated record. The transcript is spliced from 3 exons. NCBI's taxonomy places the organism in Eukaryota, Metazoa, Chordata, Mammalia, Rodentia, Muridae.